Molecule: ribosomal RNA, 460 nt
Filed under: uncultured bacterium
Lineage: Bacteria
Description: partial 16S ribosomal RNA
Rfam family: Bacterial small subunit ribosomal RNA
Source: RNAcentral
CCUACGGGAGACAGCAGUGAGGAAUAUUGGUCAAUGGACGAGAGUCUGAACCAGCCAAGUAGCGUGAAGGAUGACUGCCCUAUGGGUUGUAAACUUCUUUUAUAAAGGAAUAAAACGAGGCACGUGUGCCUUUUUGCAUGUACUUUAUGAAUAAGGAUCGGCUAACUCCGUGCCAGCAGCCGCGGUAAUACGGAGGAUCCGAGCGUUAUCCGGAUUUAUUGGGUUUAAAGGGAGCGUAGAUGGGUUGUUAAGUCAGUUGUGAAAGUUUGCGGCUCAACCGUAAAAUUGCAAUUGAUACUGGUAGUCUUGAGUACAGUUGAGGUAAGCGGAAUUCGUGGUGUAGCGGUGAAAUGCUUAGAUAUCACGAAGAACCCCGAUUGCGAAGGCAGCUUACUAAACUGUGACUGACAUUGAUGCUCGAAAGUGUGGGUAUCAAACAGGAUUAGAUACCCCUGUAGUC